GGCUCUUUGAAUUUUUAUAGAAUAAAGAGUCUGGCCUGCCCGGUGAAUAUUUUAACGGCUGCAACGAGAGUUGUGCUAAGGUAGCGUGAUAAGUUGUCUUUUAAUUGGAGAAUGGUAUGAAUGGUUUAACGUAGAAUAACUGUCUUUGGAAAAUAAAAUUAAGUUUCCAUUUAAGUGAAAAGGCUUAUAUUUUUGUAAAAGACGAGAAGACCCUGUCGAGCUUAAUUAAAAUUGUUUGUUUAUAUCAAUUAGAAUUUUUAUUGGGGCAAUAUAAAUCAAAAUAACGGUUUAAUAAUUAGAUAAAGAUCCUUGUCGAAAGAAAAUAGCAAAAGCUACCGCAGGGAUAACAGCGUUAUCCUUCUUAAGAGAUCGAAUUGAGAGAAGGGUUUGCGACCUCGAUGUUGGAUUAUAGAAACUUCUUGGUGCAGCAGCUAUGAAGGUGAGACUGUUCGUCUUUUAAUUCUAU
This 466-nucleotide ribosomal RNA is filed under the name Chamelea gallina. RNAcentral's name for it is "partial 16S ribosomal RNA". It matches the Rfam family "Bacterial large subunit ribosomal RNA", at positions 1819 to 2597 of the family's 2925-position model. The record is from RNAcentral. Lineage: Eukaryota; Metazoa; Mollusca; Bivalvia; Venerida; Veneridae.